RNAcentral lists this ribosomal RNA (257 nucleotides) under uncultured bacterium. RNAcentral describes it as "partial 16S ribosomal RNA". It matches the Rfam family "Bacterial small subunit ribosomal RNA", at positions 793 to 1055 of the family's 1533-position model. The record is from RNAcentral.
GUCCACGCUGUAAACGAUGAUGACUAACCGUCGGCGAUAUACAGUCGGUGGCCAAGCGAAAGCGAUAAGUCAUCCACCUGGGGAGUACGACCGCAAGGUUGAAACUCAAAGGAAUUGACGGGGGCCCGCACAAGCGGAGGAACAUGUGGUUUAAUUCGAUGAUACGCGAGGAACCUUACCCGGGCUCGAACGGCAGGGGAAUUAUCCAGAGAUGGAUAAGUCUUCGGACUCCUGUCGAGGUGCUGCAUGGUUGUCGU